Non-coding RNA from Macrolepiota fuliginosa MF-IS2, 85 nucleotides. The record is from the annotation of a GenBank genome assembly. NCBI's taxonomy places the organism in Eukaryota, Fungi, Basidiomycota, Agaricomycetes, Agaricales, Agaricaceae.
GGCCGCCUGGCGAAAUGGCAUCGCGUCUGACUACGAUUUAAACCUCGAAAUCAGGAGAUUGCAGGUUCGACCCCUGCGGUGGUCA